RNAcentral lists this ribosomal RNA (1554 nucleotides) under Kluyvera georgiana. RNAcentral describes it as "bacterial SSU rRNA". It matches the Rfam family "Bacterial small subunit ribosomal RNA". The record is from RNAcentral. Lineage: Bacteria; Pseudomonadati; Pseudomonadota; Gammaproteobacteria; Enterobacterales; Enterobacteriaceae.
ACUUAAAUUGAAGAGUUUGAUCAUGGCUCAGAUUGAACGCUGGCGGCAGGCCUAACACAUGCAAGUCGAACGGUAGCACAGAGAGCUUGCUCUCGGGUGACGAGUGGCGGACGGGUGAGUAAUGUCUGGGAAACUGCCCGAUGGAGGGGGAUAACUACUGGAAACGGUAGCUAAUACCGCAUAACGUCGCAAGACCAAAGUGGGGGACCUUCGGGCCUCACACCAUCGGAUGUGCCCAGAUGGGAUUAGCUAGUAGGUGGGGUAACGGCUCACCUAGGCGACGAUCCCUAGCUGGUCUGAGAGGAUGACCAGCCACACUGGAACUGAGACACGGUCCAGACUCCUACGGGAGGCAGCAGUGGGGAAUAUUGCACAAUGGGCGCAAGCCUGAUGCAGCCAUGCCGCGUGUAUGAAGAAGGCCUUCGGGUUGUAAAGUACUUUCAGCGAGGAGGAAGGCGUUGUGGUUAAUAACCACAGCGAUUGACGUUACUCGCAGAAGAAGCACCGGCUAACUCCGUGCCAGCAGCCGCGGUAAUACGGAGGGUGCAAGCGUUAAUCGGAAUUACUGGGCGUAAAGCGCACGCAGGCGGUUUGUUAAGUCAGAUGUGAAAUCCCGGGCUCAACCUGGGAACUGCAUUUGAAACUGGCAAGCUUGAGUCUCGUAGAGGGGGUAGAAUUCCAGGUGUAGCGGUGAAAUGCGUAGAGAUCUGGAGGAAUACCGGUGGCGAAGGCGGCCCCCUGGACGAAGACUGACGCUCAGGUGCGAAAGCGUGGGGAGCAAACAGGAUUAGAUACCCUGGUAGUCCACGCCGUAAACGAUGUCUAUUUGGAGGUUGUGCCCUUGAGGCGUGGCUUCCGGAGCUAACGCGUUAAAUAGACCGCCUGGGGAGUACGGCCGCAAGGUUAAAACUCAAAUGAAUUGACGGGGGCCCGCACAAGCGGUGGAGCAUGUGGUUUAAUUCGAUGCAACGCGAAGAACCUUACCUACUCUUGACAUCCAGAGAACUUAGCAGAGAUGCUUUGGUGCCUUCGGGAACUCUGAGACAGGUGCUGCAUGGCUGUCGUCAGCUCGUGUUGUGAAAUGUUGGGUUAAGUCCCGCAACGAGCGCAACCCUUAUCCUUUGUUGCCAGCGGUUCGGCCGGGAACUCAAAGGAGACUGCCAGUGAUAAACUGGAGGAAGGUGGGGAUGACGUCAAGUCAUCAUGGCCCUUACGAGUAGGGCUACACACGUGCUACAAUGGCAUAUACAAAGAGAAGCGACCUCGCGAGAGCAAGCGGACCUCAUAAAGUAUGUCGUAGUCCGGAUUGGAGUCUGCAACUCGACUCCAUGAAGUCGGAAUCGCUAGUAAUCGUAGAUCAGAAUGCUACGGUGAAUACGUUCCCGGGCCUUGUACACACCGCCCGUCACACCAUGGGAGUGGGUUGCAAAAGAAGUAGGUAGCUUAACCUUCGGGAGGGCGCUUACCACUUUGUGAUUCAUGACUGGGGUGAAGUCGUAACAAGGUAACCGUAGGGGAACCUGCGGUUGGAUCACCUCCUUACCUUAAAGAAGC